GCCUGCCCAGUGAGCACAUUUAACGGCCGCGGUAUCCUAACCGUGCAAAGGUAGCACAAUCACUUGUUCUUUAAAUAAGGACUGGUAUGAACGGCGCCAUGAGGAUCAACUUGUCUCUUAUGAUAAGUCUAUGAAACUGAUCUUUCAGUACAAAAGCUGAAAUAAUCUCACAAGACGAGAAGACCCUGUGGAGCUUCAAACUUUCGGUCACCCAUACGCCUGACCUUACAGUUUUUAGUUGGGGCGACUUUGGAGAAAAACACAACCUCCAACCUAAGACUUUAGGUAGCCACACCUAGACACACCACUUGACCCAAUCUAAUUGAGCAACGAACCAAGUUACCCCAGGGAUAACAGCGCAAUCUUCUCCUAGAGUCCCUAUCGACAAGAAGGUUUACGACCUCGAUGUUGGAUCAGGAUAUCCCAAUAGUGCAGCCGCUAUUAAAGGUUCGUUUGUUCAACGAUUAAUAAUCCUACGUGAUCUGAGUUCAGACCAG
RNAcentral lists this ribosomal RNA (497 nucleotides) under Amphisbaena anomala (Barbour's worm lizard). RNAcentral describes it as "partial 16S ribosomal RNA". It matches the Rfam family "Bacterial large subunit ribosomal RNA", at positions 1857 to 2619 of the family's 2925-position model. The record is from RNAcentral. Lineage: Eukaryota; Metazoa; Chordata; Lepidosauria; Squamata; Amphisbaenidae.